ACUGACUCGCUAGCCCAACCAAUCAAAAACAACAAAACACAAUAACUAAGCCCAAAGACACGAGCUGUCUCCACGAACAAACCAUUUUUCCCCCCUAGUAUGGGCGACAGAAAAGGGACAUGGAGCGAUAGAGAGAGUACCGCAAGGGAAUGCUGAAAAACCAAAUGAAAUAAACAAGUGAAGCCCAAAAAAGCAGAGAUCACACCUCGUACCUUUUGCAUCAUGAUUUAGCCAGUGCAACCCAAGCAAAGAGCACUUUAGUUUGACAACCCGAAACUUUGUGAGCUACUCCAAGGCAGUCUAAUUAAUAGGACCAACCCGUCUCUGUGGCAAAAGAGUGGGAAGACCUUUGAGUAGAGGUGAUAAACCUACCGAACUUAGUAAUAGCUGGUUGCCCAUCAAUUGGAUAGAAGUUCAGCCUCCCGGCUUCUUUAUUCACCUAGAUUUUUGUAGUCCUACAGAUACCAUAAGAAAACCAGGAGAGUUAGUCGAAGGGGGUACAGCCCCUUAGAAACAAGAUACAACUUUUUUAGGAGGAUAAAGAUCAUAAUCAAACAAGGCAAGAUAUCAGGGUGGGCUUAAAAGCAGCCACCCCAUCAAAAAGCGUUAAAGCUCAGACACUCUAUUUUAAGCCCCAAGUUUCGACCACUGCCUCUUACACCCCUUAUCCUACUGGGCCGUCCCAUGCAACCAUGGGAGCGAUCCUGCUAAAAUCAGUAUAUAAGAGAGUCCAACGGCUCUCUCCCUGCAUACGUGUAAAUCGGAAUCGGACAAUCCACCGAACCUUAACGGACCCAAAAAUAGAGGGGACUGAACCAUAAACAAAACAACUAGAAAAACACCCAAAUAAAUAACCGUUACCCCCACACAGGCAUGCUCUUAGGGAAAGACUAAAAGAAAGAGAAGGAACUCGGCAAACACUCAGCCUCGCCUGUUUACCAAAAACAUCGCCUCUUGCUAAACCAGAAAUAUAAGAGGUCCCGCCUGCCCUGUGACUAUAUGUUCAACGGCCGCGGUAUUUUGACCGUGCGAAGGUAGCGCAAUCACUUGUCUCUUAAAUAGGGACCUGUAUGAAUGGCAUAACGAGGGCUUGACUGUCUCCUCUUUCAAGUCAAUGAAAUUGAUCUCCCCGUGCAGAAGCGGGGAUAGGCACAUAAGACGAGAAGACCCUAUGGAGCUUUAGGCACUAAAGCAGAUCAGCAUUAAUACCCUGAACAUAGGGCACGAAUAUACUAAACCCUGCCCUAAUGUCUUAGGUUGGGGCGACCGCGGAGAAACAAAAAACCCCCGCAAGGACUGAAUGUACUACAUUCACAACCAAGAGCGACAGCUCUAAUUAACAGACACUUCUGACCAAUAAGAUCCGGCAACGCCGAUUAAUGAACCAAGUUACCCUAGGGAUAACAGCGCAAUCUCCUCUUAGAGCCCGUAUCAACGAGGAGGUUUACGACCUCGAUGUUGGAUCAGGACAUCCUAAUGGUGCAGCCGCUAUUAAGGGUUCGUUUGUUCAACGAUUAAAGUCCUACGUGAUCUGAGUUCAGACCGGAGUAAUCCAGGUCGGUUUCUAUCUAUGUAAUGAUCUUUUCCAGUACGAAAGGACCGAAAAGAGGGGGCCUAUAUCCAAAACAUGCCUCACUCCCACCUGAUGAAAGCAGCUCAAUUAGCCAAGGGGGCAUCAUUUCUUUGUCUGAGAGAACGACAA
RNAcentral lists this ribosomal RNA (1702 nucleotides) under Epinephelus undulosus (wavy-lined grouper). RNAcentral describes it as "16S ribosomal RNA". It matches the Rfam family "Bacterial large subunit ribosomal RNA". Lineage: Eukaryota; Metazoa; Chordata; Actinopteri; Perciformes; Serranidae. The record is from RNAcentral.